GUGGUUUUAUUCAUCUCAUUCUACUUUUCUCGAGGGCUGACGUGUGCAUAAAAGGAGAACGUGAUCCCUUGCACAUGUUCUACAUGAGGGCUGUGUGUAGCACCAUCAGUAACUUAAAACAAGCUCUGCUGACUCUCACUCAAAGGGAUUGCUGAAUCCAAGCCAAUGCAAUUCAGACUGGCAUUUCUCCACCUCCUCUGGCCAGGGAAUGGUGUGAAAGGACAAUCCUGUUUCUCUACACCAGUGGUCAGUAGAAGAGGUAAAACAAUACAAGAAAAUGAGGAAUUAAUUGCCUCUUGUGACGUGUUGUCCCAGUUCCCCAAAAUGCGCCAUUUCUAGGACUUCCUGAGCUACACUUUGCAUCUAAGAUGAGCUUCAGACACUGGUCCUAAAGGAUGAAAUCCCAUUCUGCAAAAUGGUGGCAGAAGGUCUUGCAGUGUUUGGUUCAUCACCUAUUGUUUGGAUAAACUGGGCUGUAGAAAGGUGUGGAAAUGGCUUGAAAAUCUGCAGAAGGUUUGCUCUUGGGUCUCAUAACAGUCCCACAUGUGACAUUUGUACAUGCUCAAAAGGCAUCAACUGAGAGCAAGAGAAAACGUUCAGAAAUUUAUUUAGAUCUUUGACUAAACAGAACUUUAUCACACUUAGCAUUCCCUUUUUCUUUAGCCCAUCAAGGCCUUUCUUAAUAAACAACCCUGUC
RNAcentral lists this long non-coding RNA (697 nucleotides) under Zonotrichia albicollis (white-throated sparrow). Its description in RNAcentral is "lncRNA (ENSZALG00000000802.1)". The record is from RNAcentral. Lineage: Eukaryota; Metazoa; Chordata; Aves; Passeriformes; Passerellidae.